Molecule: ribosomal RNA, 157 nt
Filed under: Senecio sarracenicus
Lineage: Eukaryota; Viridiplantae; Streptophyta; Magnoliopsida; Asterales; Asteraceae
Description: partial 5.8S ribosomal RNA
Rfam family: 5.8S ribosomal RNA
About the family: 5.8S ribosomal RNA (5.8S rRNA) is a component of the large subunit of the eukaryotic ribosome.
Source: RNAcentral
CUCUCGGCAACGGAUAUCUCGGCUCACGCAUCGAUGAAGAACGUAGCAAAAUGCGAUACUUGGUGUGAAUUGCAGAAUCCCGUGAACCAUCGAGUUUUUGAACGCAAGUUGCGCCCGAAGCCUUUUGGCUGAGGGCACGUCUGCCUGGGCGUCACAY